Anolis sagrei ordinatus is the source of this 1232-nucleotide long non-coding RNA. RefSeq lists it as uncharacterized. The record is from RefSeq and is a predicted model, not a curated record. Lineage: Eukaryota; Metazoa; Chordata; Lepidosauria; Squamata; Anolidae.
UCUUAUGCAGAAGCUCGUAGAAGCUUUUGCUUGUUCAGAAAAAUUGGAGUCUCCAGUUGUUCCACAAAGAAAAUCUCAGGCACAAAAGCGGCAUCUCUGGAACUAAUGGAGAAAUAAUCACCUACACUGGAUGAAGACAAAAAUGUAAGAUGCAGCAAGGAAGCCAUGAAACAAUCCAUCACUUCAUUGUGUCAUUUGGAGAAGUUGCCACCGGCAAGAUUUUUGGAAGAAAACAUGAAGAUUGAGUUACUUUUUGUGAUCCUCUUAAUUAAUAGUGCACCUCAUUCAAAAUUGUGCCUCAACUUUCCAUCUACACCAAUGCAACUGAAUGUGCUAAAAGUUCCUCAUGGAUAGCUAACCUUCCACACAUGUGCUCACUGAUACUACGGAUGUGACCACAAUCAGUAGAGCACAAAGCUUUGAAACAAAGCCUGCCUACAACUUCUGCCUUACAUCUUCUAACUUCUUCUCCAGUAUCCGCAUGCUGCCAGGCCAACUCAACAGGUUCCUAGGGUAGAAUGAGACAUUACACCAUGAGUAUGGCACAAAAAUGCCAUUUUGUAUCCAGCCUCCACUCGUCUUAAUAUUUAGGCAUACUGAUCCAUGUCAUAAUCUAUGAAUUUUCCAUUAUUGUAUGUCCCAGCGGUAUGAGACAGUAGGAUGAUGAGAGGAAUUAACAUGUGGCUCCCACUUUCAUUAUAAAGAAAACUCUACUGAGCCCAAUGCUAGUGACAUCUUGCUCAUUUUGCCCAUUUUGCUAUUGCCCAAUUUAUUCCUGAAGAAUUCUGGGAAAUGUAGUUUAGGGAAGCUGAGGACUUCUCUGGCUGAGAAUUUCAAAAAGCCCCACCCUAAACUGCAUUUCCCAGAAACCUGCAGGAGCAAAGCGAGUGAUAGAAAAGCAGGCACCUCUGCUUUAAAACGCUAAUGUAACACUGGACUUGUCCUGUGAAAUUCUGGCUUAAAAUGUGACCUUAUCUAAACAGAUUCAUUCAUAAACUGUUCAGUAAACAUUUUUGAUUGUACUACUUUCACUUCACAAGCGAUGCUGCUUUUCCUUACACAAGAUAACCCUUCACUUUUGUGACAAAAAAGUAAAGCAGAUAUCAAAAUGUUAGUAAGCAAUGGUUCUUUAUCUCAAUCAGUUUGCUUGAAGCCACCUACAAGACAUGAAAAAAUAUUGUCAAGAUUCCCCCAUUUCCUCCCUGAUCAUAUUCAAGCCAAGCUGUUUCCAG